RNAcentral lists this ribosomal RNA (2272 nucleotides) under human gut metagenome. RNAcentral describes it as "bacterial LSU rRNA". It matches the Rfam family "Bacterial large subunit ribosomal RNA", at positions 3 to 2289 of the family's 2925-position model. The record is from RNAcentral.
UCAAGCUACUAAGGGCAUACGGUGGAUGCCUAGGCGCCAAGAGCCGAAGAAGGACGCGGUAAGCUGCGAAAAGCCACGGGGAACUGCAAGCAAGUAUUGAUCCGUGGAUAUCCGAAUGGGGAAACCCGGCCAUCGUCAUGGAUGGUCACCCGCAAGGGAGGGAACCUGGGGAACUGAAACAUCUAAGUACCCGGAGGAAGAGAAAUCAAACGAGAUGCCCACAGUAGCGGCGAGCGAAGAGGGCAGAGCCCAAACCGAGAAGCUCCGGCUUUUCGGGGUUGAGGACCGGCAGAAUCGAAGUCAGGCCUAGUUGAAUUACCUGGAAAGGUAAGCGAGAGAGGGUAAAAGCCCCGUAGACGAAAGGCAGAGCAGAGAGGCCGAGAUCCAGAGUACCACGAAGCACGAGGAAUUUUGUGGGAAGCAGGGGGGACCACCCUCCAAGGCUAAAAACUACUUGGCGACCGAUAGCGCAUAGUACCGUGAGGGAAAGGUGAAAAGAACCCCGGGAGGGGAGUGAAAUAGUACCUGAAACCGUAUGUCUACAAGCAGUCGAAGCGAAAGCGACGGCGUGCCUAUUGAAGAAUGAACCAACGAGUUAUCUGCACUAGCGAGGUUAAGUGGAAGACACGGAGCCGCAGCGAAAGCGAGUCUUAAGAGGGCGCUAGUUAGUGUAGGUAGACCCGAAACCGCAGUGAUCUACCCAUGUCCAGGUUGAAGCGCAGGUAAAAUUGCGUGGAGGACCGAACCGGUGAGCGUUGAAAAGCUUUCGGAUGAGAUGUGGGUAGGGGUGAAAUUCCAAUCGAACGCGGAGAUAGCUGGUUCUCCCCGAAAUAGCUUUAGGGCUAGCCUGAGGUAGUAAGUAUAGGCGGUAGAGCACUGAUCGGGCUAGGGGCCGUAAAGGUUACCGAACCCUGUCAAACUCCGAAUGGAUAUACUGUAGAGCCUUGGAGUCAGACUACGAGUGAUAAGAUCCGUGGUCAAAAGGGAAACAGCCCAGACCACCAGCUAAGGUCCCCAAUGUCGUACUAAGUGGAAAAGGAUGUGGGGUUUCAUAAACAACCAGGAUGUUGGCUCAGAAGCAGCCACCAUUUAAAGAGUGCGUAAUAGCUCACUGGUCGAGAGACCCUGCGCCGAAGAUUCCCGGGGCUAAAGUACGAAACCGAAGCUGUGGCUGUAUACGUAAAGUAUACGGGGUAGGGGAGCGUUCCCAUAGGGUAGAAGUCGAACUGGAAGGUUCGGUGGACUUGUGGGAAGUGAGAAUGUUGGUAUGAGUAGCGAAAAGAAAGGUGAGAAUCCUUUCCACCGAAAGCAUAAGGAUUCCUGAGCAACGAUCGUCGUCUCAGGGUAAGUCGGGACCUAAUCCGAGGCAGAGAGCGUAGGAGAUGGACAACUGGUUGAUAUUCCAGUACCGGUAGUAAUUGUUUGAGCAAUGGAGUGACACAGAAGGGCAGGCAAGCAUGCGAAUGGAAGAGCAUGUGUAAGCGUGUAGGGUGGUGCAUAGGCAAAUCCGUGCACUGAAAGCCUGAGGCGUGAUGCGGAGUGAGCAGAGAUGCGAGCGAAGUUGUUGACCCCACACUGUCGAGAAAAGCUUCUAGUGAGAGAGCUACCGCCCGUACCGUAAACCGACACAGGUAUGCGGGGAGAGAAUCCUAAGGUGCGCGGGAGAACCCUCGUUAAGGAACUCGGCAAAAUGUACCCGUAACUUCGGGAUAAGGGUAGCCACUGUUGUGAAGUCCCAUGCGGAUGGAGCAUAGAGUGGUCGCAGAGAAGAGGCCCAAGCGACUGUUUACCAUAAACACAGGUGCCUGCUAAAGCGAAAGCUGACGUAUAGGUGCUGACACCUGCCCAGUGCCGGAAGGUUAAGGAAGGAUGUUCGGAUUAGUCCAAAGCAUUCGACUGAAGCCCCGGUGAACGGCGGCCGUAACUAUAACGGUCCUAAGGUAGCGAAAUUCCUUGUCGGGUAAGUUCCGACCCGCACGAAAGGUGUAACGAUUUGGGCACUGUCUCAACGAGGGACCCGGUGAAAUUGAAAUACCUGUGAAGAUGCAGGUUACCCGCGACUGGACAGAAAGACCCCAUGGAGCUUUACUGUAACCUGACAUUGGGUUUUGAUACAUUACGUACAGGAUAGGUGGGAGGCUUGGAAAGUUGGACGCUAGUCUGACUGGAGCCGACGUUGGGAUACCACCCUUGAUGUAUUGAAAUUCUAACCGCGAGAGUAACGAAAUCCGGGACAGUGUCAGGCGGGCAGUUUGACUGGGGCGGUCGCCUC